GCGCGCAAAUUACCCACUCCCGGCACGGGGAGGUAGUGACGAAAAAUAACGAUACGGGACUCAUCCGAGGCCCCGUAAUCGGAAUGAGUACACUCUAAACCCUUUAACGAGGAUCAAUUGGAGGGCAAGUCUGGUGCCAGCAGCCGCGGUAAUUCCAGCUCCAAUAGCGUAUAUUAAAGUUGUUGCGGUUAAAAAGCUCGUAGUCGAAUCUGUGUCCCGCGCCGCCGGUUCAUCGCUCGCGGUGUUUAACUGGCGUGUCCGCGAGACGUCCUGCCGGUGGGCUUAGCUCGUUCGCGGGCGGCCCAACUUCAAAUCCCACCGCGGUGCUCUUGACUGAGUGUCGAGGUGGGCCGGCACGUUUACUUUGAACAAAUUAGAGUGCUUAAAGCAGGCUAAAACUUCGCCUGAAUACUGUGUGCAUGGAAUAAUGGAAUAGGACCUCGGUUCUAUUUUGUUGGUUUUCGGAACCCCGAGGUAAUGAUUAAUAGGAACGGAUGGGGGCAUUCGUAUUGCGACGUUAGAGGUGAAAUUCUUGGAUCGUCGCAAGACGGACAGAAGCGAAAGCAUUUGCCAAAAACGCUUUCAUUGAUCAAGAACGAAAGUUAGAGGUUCGAAGGCGAUCAGAUACCGCCCUAGUUCUAACCAUAAACGAUGCCAGCUAGCGAUCCGCCGACGUUCCUCCGAUGACUCG
Molecule: ribosomal RNA, 691 nt
Filed under: Hydrobius orientalis
Lineage: Eukaryota; Metazoa; Arthropoda; Insecta; Coleoptera; Hydrophilidae
Description: SSU rRNA
Rfam family: Eukaryotic small subunit ribosomal RNA
Source: RNAcentral